This 252-nucleotide ribosomal RNA is filed under the name uncultured bacterium. Its description in RNAcentral is "partial 16S ribosomal RNA". It matches the Rfam family "Bacterial small subunit ribosomal RNA", at positions 524 to 776 of the family's 1533-position model. The record is from RNAcentral.
UACGGGGGGGCAAGCGUUGUUCGGAAUUCCUGGGCGUAAAGGGCUCGUAGGCGGCCAACUAAGUCAGACGUGAAAUCCCUCGGCUUAACCGGGGAACUGCGUCUGAUACUGGAUGGCUUGAGGUUGGGAGAGGGAUGCGGAAUUCCAGGUGUAGCGGUGAAAUGCGUAGAUAUCUGGAGGAACACCGGUGGCGAAGGCGGCAUCCUGGACCAAUUCUGACGCUGAGGAGCGAAAGCCAGGGGAGCAAACGGG